UGGGGAAUAUUGGACAAUGGGCGCAAGCCUGAUCCAGCCAUGCCGCGUGAGUGAUGAAGGCCUUAGGGUUGUAAAGCUCUUUCACCCACGACGAUAAUGACAGUACCGGGAGAAUAAGCUCCGGCUAACUCCGUGCCAGCAGCCGCGGUAAUACGGAGGGAGCUAGCGUUGUUCGGAAUUACUGGGCGUAAAGCGCACGUAGGCGGCGAUUUAAGUCAGAGGUGAAAGCCCGGGGCUCAACCCCGGAAUUGCCUUUGAGACUGGAUUGCUAGAAUCCGGGAGAGGUGAGUGGAAUUCCGAGUGUAGAGGUGAAAUUUGUAGAUAUUCGGAAGAACACCAGUGGCGAAGGCGGCUCACUGGACCGGCAUUGACGCUGAGGUGCGAAAGCGUGGGGAGCAAA
This 400-nucleotide ribosomal RNA is filed under the name uncultured bacterium. Its description in RNAcentral is "bacterial SSU rRNA". It matches the Rfam family "Bacterial small subunit ribosomal RNA", at positions 355 to 772 of the family's 1533-position model. The record is from RNAcentral.